GGCAAUUUGCAGCGCUAGUAGCUAUAUGGUACUAAAGGGAUGCAAACAGCUGGCUAUUUCAGUGUGUUCUAUGGGUCGGAUCCCCGGAGGCUACAUUACCAACCACGUGUACAGUUGGGUGGAUCCUCAGGGCCGGAGUGUCUCCCCGCCACCCGACAGCCAAGAGGCCAACCAGAAGCAAGGACGUGGCAUGGAGGAGAGGACGCAGUCAGUUCAGGACUGGAAUAGUGUUCCUGCAGGUCAUCGUGACCUUUGGUGUUGUGACAUUUUGGAAGACAGACUCAUCCUACAACAAAGUCAACAACCACAGGCCUGUC
Molecule: long non-coding RNA, 317 nt
Filed under: Sander lucioperca (pikeperch)
Lineage: Eukaryota; Metazoa; Chordata; Actinopteri; Perciformes; Percidae
Description: lncRNA (ENSSLUG00000011175.1)
Source: RNAcentral